Molecule: transfer RNA, 73 nt
Filed under: Rhizoctonia solani AG-1 IA
Lineage: Eukaryota; Fungi; Basidiomycota; Agaricomycetes; Cantharellales; Ceratobasidiaceae
Description: tRNA-Val (TAC) (tRNA-Val-TAC-2-1)
Rfam family: tRNA
About the family: Transfer RNA (tRNA) molecules are approximately 80 nucleotides in length. Their secondary structure includes four short double-helical elements and three loops (D, anti-codon, and T loops).
Source: RNAcentral
GGUUGCAUAGUCUAGUGGUUAUGAUAUCUGCUUUACACGCAGAGGGUCCCAAGUUCGAACCUUGGUGCAGCCA